UGCGUAUGCUAUAGGAGCAGGCAGGAUGGCCUGGGGGAAGAGGUGGGGUGUUUGCAUGGUGAUGUGGUGAACCUCAGCAUAAGCAGUAUGUAGAGGAUGUGGGGCUAUAGCUGCCUGGCGGGCACCAAAGGAGGUUAAAGCGGGCAGCACAGCUUCACAAACAGCCUGACCCAUGGAUGCCAACCGGAGGAACUGCCCCCAACUCUCCUGCAGCCCUCCAGCUGUCCUCGGGGGCCACCCCAGCUGCAGCUGCUCCGUUUGCUGGUGCCACCUCUUCAUGGUCAUCUCCUAGCUGGAGCACUGCCCACGGAGCCGAGACCACCUCCCUUUGGCUGCGGGGGCUGCAGGCACUGCCUGGUGCUGACCAGCCGGGGCUGCGAGGAGCUGGUUCAAGCCCGGUCCCGCAAGGACGUCCAGGGAGGCCGAGACUCCUUUCAUUGGGAAAAUACGAACGGAAAUGAGAUAAACCCUUAAACAGAGCUAAGCAAGAGAUGAAGCAUAUAGUCACAGAGCUGACAGCAGCUUUGACUUGCAGGGAUCUUCACUCCAGUCAUUUCCAAUAGUUGAAAUUGAGUGUAAUUUAGUUUUUAGGCAUGUAAAAAUUAACUGUCUCAGAAAAUAAACAUGCCAUGUACUUAAUAAAGCAAACUCUGAAGGGAAAUGAUGCUACAAUAAAGCUGCCUUAACAGCAA
Long non-coding RNA from Cygnus olor (mute swan), 692 nucleotides. RefSeq lists it as uncharacterized. Lineage: Eukaryota; Metazoa; Chordata; Aves; Anseriformes; Anatidae. The transcript is spliced from 3 exons. The record is from RefSeq and is a predicted model, not a curated record.